RNAcentral lists this long non-coding RNA (681 nucleotides) under Cavia porcellus (domestic guinea pig). RNAcentral's name for it is "lncRNA (ENSCPOG00000030901.1)". Lineage: Eukaryota; Metazoa; Chordata; Mammalia; Rodentia; Caviidae. The record is from RNAcentral.
GUAAUGGGAAAAGGUGUCAACUAUCUUUUCAAAGUGGUUGCAUCAGACAAUAUCCCACCAGCCAUACACAUGAGAGCGCAUAGAUCUAUAUCCUUGCCAGCAUUUGGCAUUGUAGGAUACUUUACUUUUAUAUUCAGGAAAAGACAGUGCACCUAAAAACAAGCAAGUAACAGCAAAAACAAAAACAUCUUGUCCUCCUUUCCUCUAAAUUCUGGGAAAGAUUUGGAGGACAGGAGGCAAUACUGGUUGAAACUAAUAGUGUUUCAAAAUUUUUCAGUUCUGGAAAGCCUCUCCCAGCAAUGGAGUGGGAACUGUGGGGGCGUGAGAAGGCAGGAAAGCUGCAGAUUUGUGCCAUGGGGACUUUCCACAGACGAUAAUAAGGAAUGGGAGGAAAGAGACUGCGUCUUUUGUUGCCUGUCUCCACAUGUGAUACAAGGCCUGAGGACAUGCUGCCUGCCCUGAGACCAUCAGUCCCGCCUUAUUCAUGGAAGUCGCUACACAAUUAGGUGAAGAGGAGGAACUGCGCUUCUCCAAGUCCUGGUGAACUCUGCAGUAGUGGGUGGAAGGAGGAAUUUAAUGAGCUUUAAAAGAAGACAAUAAGGAAGAUACAAAGACAUGGCCAUCUGGACUUAAGCUGUUUGUGAGAAUGUAAGCCUGGUCCCAGAAAACCCUUGGUUAAAC